This 109-nucleotide ribosomal RNA is filed under the name Pteropus alecto (black flying fox). The record is from RNAcentral. Lineage: Eukaryota; Metazoa; Chordata; Mammalia; Chiroptera; Pteropodidae.
GUCUACGGCCAUGCCACAAGCCCAGUGUCUGAUCUUGGAAGCUAAGCCUGGUUGGGUCUGGUUAGUAUUUGGAUGGGAGACCACUUAGAAAUACCAGGUGCUGUAGGCA